This 252-nucleotide ribosomal RNA is filed under the name uncultured bacterium. RNAcentral describes it as "partial 16S ribosomal RNA". It matches the Rfam family "Bacterial small subunit ribosomal RNA", at positions 524 to 776 of the family's 1533-position model. The record is from RNAcentral.
GACGAAGGUGGCUAGCGUUAUUCGGAUUUACUGGGCAUAAAGCGCGCGUAGGCGGCUUGGCAAGUCGGAGGUGAAAGCCUGCAGCUCAACUGCGGUGUGCCUCCGAAACUGCCGAGCUUGAGUGCGGGAGGGGUGAUUGGAACUCCAGGUGUAGCGGUGAAAUGCGUAGAUAUCUGGAGGAACACCAGAGGCGAAGGCGAAUCACUGGACCGCAACUGACGCUGAGGCGCGAAAGCUAGGGGAGCAAACAGG